This is a non-coding RNA of Salmo salar (Atlantic salmon), 1677 nucleotides long. Lineage: Eukaryota; Metazoa; Chordata; Actinopteri; Salmoniformes; Salmonidae. The record is from RefSeq and is a predicted model, not a curated record.
UGACCUUGUUGACUGAUGCCAAGGUGGCGGCUGCUAAGAAGGGAGCAGCUGCGAACCAGAGGACUGCAGCCAAGGCAGCACUGGUCCACACCUGCCCGGUCUGUCGAUGCAUACCCAAAGAUUUGCAAGGAACACUUUGAAAGCAAGCAUCCCAAGUUUCCAAUAAUCCCAGUACUGGUUGAUGUGCAGGCCUAAGUGACCACACACACUCAAAUGGACCUACAGCUGGGACAUACGAUGACCACGAUUUGAAUACUGCAACUGUGACGGAAUAACGUCGAGGGACAUGGGCUGAGACCUUGAGUAUGACUGGACAUGGGCCAGAUUUUUGUGACAAUGACCUAAAAGGGGUGCAGAAGCACACCAGCUCCCCAUUUUAAGUUUAUUCCAUGGGAAACCUUUUCUCUAGCUACCCCUUAUUCCACACUAUGCCUUUAAUGCCCCAUGGUCCCUCAAUUUUUGACACUUUGAAAUUCCCCAUCUUAUCUCAUUAAACAUGCCCUACCUUCAACCCUUUUCACUAUGCUGCUUCCUUCACUUGUUCUUCUGAUUUGAUAACAUCUAGACUCAGUAACACGUGUAAAAGUGUUGUGGUGUACUCUAUUUUAUUAUUUUUUUAUAUAUAUACUUUUUUUUAAAUACUUUUUUUCACCUGUUUAAUGCUGUCCUCCUUAUUCUGGGGUUCAAACUGAAUGCAAUGGUAAAUGUGCUCCUCACAGUUGACAGUAGCAACAUGGACCUUGACAAGAAGGGUGUUGAUAUAGCUGCGUUUAGGCAUGGCUUCUUUGUUUCGAGUGUAUUAAGUGUGUUUCUCAUUCUGAUGGAGUUGAUCUAGUAUUUUAUAUUAAACCUACCUUAAGCAUCCAGCUUUUCUAUUCAUAACUCACCCAGCAAAAUCCCAAUAUGCUGUUUUACAUGUUGUGUUACUUGUGCUGGUCUAAUUCCUAAAAUGGAAAAUCUGAAGAAUCUGUGCGCUCUAGGAUAGUAAUAAUAGUUCAUAUGAUGUUCUUCGAUGUCUCAGGUUUGUGACAUCGAGGAAUAAAUCAUUUAAUGUUUACUUAAAUUCAGAUGUUUAUAUGUUAUGUAUAAAAGUCAUGUAUGCAUUGUUCACUAUUUUGAUUUCUUUAAAACAAUGUAAUUAUUGGAAUUUAAUGUAUUAAUUCGACCAUUUAAAAACAUUCUGCAAUUCCUUAAUCUAGCGUUGAAUCUGCAACAGAACAUGUGUUACGCAGAGUGGAACAGGGGAACCCAAGAGCAGACUCAGAUGAGGAAACUGGGAUGAAGUAACCAAGGUAUUUUAUUGCAACACAGGGGGAGAUGGAGUGCAGGCCAGGGGAAGCUCAGGUGGGUUGCAGGAAACCAGGUGCGGAGGCUGAGGCUGGAGUGAGAGAGGUUGGGACAGGGAAAGCAAGUCCGGAGGGGAAUCCAAGGGAGUAGUAGAGUGGGAGAUCCAGGACAGAGUAGCAGGAUUACGAGAUGUGGGACUGGAGACAGGGACCAGAGUCAGAGCGGGCAGAACUGUAGCGGAUAGGAAAACAGCAUCAAGCAAGGAAAACAGGCACAACAUGAUAACAGGAUCUGAACAGUAACAAACAGCUAGAACUGUAGACUGACUGAGCAGAGAUUACGAUCUGGCAGUGUGGAAGUGGCAGGACUGAGUAUUUGUAGAGGUCUUGA